GAUGAACGCUGGCGGCGUGCCUAACACAUGCAAGUCGAGCGAUUCUCUUCGGAGAAGAGCGGCGGACGGGUGCGUAACGCGUGGGUAACCUGCCCUGUACACACGGAUAACAUACCGAAAGGUAUGCUAAUACGAGAUAAUAUGCUUUUAUCGCAUGGUAGAAGUAUCAAAGCUUUUGCGGUACAGGAUGGACCCGCGUCUGAUUAGCUAGUUGGUAAGGUAACGGCUUACCAAGGCGACGAUCAGUAGCCGACCUGAGAGGGUGAUCGGCCACAUUGGAACUGAGACACGGUCCAAACUCCUACGGGAGGCAGCAGUGGGGAAUAUUGCACAAUGGGCGAAAGCCUGAUGCAGCAACGCCGCGUGAGCGAUGAAGGCCUUCGUGUCGUAAAGUUCUGUCCUCAAGGAAGAUAAUGACGGUACUUGAGGAGGAAGCCCCGGCUAACUACGUG
RNAcentral lists this ribosomal RNA (452 nucleotides) under uncultured bacterium. RNAcentral's name for it is "partial 16S ribosomal RNA". It matches the Rfam family "Bacterial small subunit ribosomal RNA", at positions 28 to 507 of the family's 1533-position model. The record is from RNAcentral.